Molecule: microRNA precursor, 74 nt
Filed under: Paramuricea clavata
Lineage: Eukaryota; Metazoa; Cnidaria; Anthozoa; Malacalcyonacea; Plexauridae
Source: RNAcentral
AAUUAACUAGAUUAUGUUAGGUGGAAUAUUAAUCAGAAAUUUCUGGUUAACAGUCCACCUAACAUAAUCUGGUU